GGCUAUAUGUUCUGAACAAUGUGCUGAUGUCCGUAUCAGGGAAGUCGUCCCAGCUUUACUCGCACAGCCUGCCAGCUCUGUUUGAACAGAAAGGACAUCUGCACAAGAAACACAGCAGCCUGUCGCUCAGCACCAACCGCCUCACUGAGCGGAUCAGUCUCAGAAAGUUUACCAUAUCUGUAAAGAUUCCUGACACUAAAGGUUGUAGGAGGUGCAGUGUAG
Maylandia zebra (zebra mbuna) is the source of this 222-nucleotide non-coding RNA. The record is from RefSeq and is a predicted model, not a curated record. NCBI's taxonomy places the organism in Eukaryota, Metazoa, Chordata, Actinopteri, Cichliformes, Cichlidae.